This is a non-coding RNA of Callithrix jacchus (white-tufted-ear marmoset), 4846 nucleotides long. NCBI's taxonomy places the organism in Eukaryota, Metazoa, Chordata, Mammalia, Primates, Cebidae. The record is from RefSeq and is a predicted model, not a curated record.
ACUUCCUUCAUUGCCUUCUCUCAAGCUUUACUGCUGAGCAUUUACUGGUCAGCAGCCCCCGCUGCGGUAGAUGCAGAACAUAACAGAAGGCUCUGGAGAGUUCCAGGCCCUGCAGAACCCACAUGUAUCUCCAGAUAGAAGCUCCGGGAAGAAGAUAAGGAAGCCACCUACCAAAAGUCAUCACUUUAAAAAAUUAACUCCAAGACAGAAAGUAGAACCGUUGAUGAAAAAAAACAGAAGUUAUUCUCCACCCUACAGUUAUUUCUAAGGUAACACUGAAAAUGUAAGUCGACUGUCGAGUGAUUUAUCUUUUAGGUUACGCGAUAUGCAGAGAUGACCGCCGUCACAUGAAUACAGCGAAGCGGUACUUAAAUGAUGGAAACUGACUUAGAAAGAUCUUAAAGUUCCCAAAAUAACUGAAAAGUGCCUUCUACUGUUAACUCCUGAGAUCAUGGUCUGUGUACAUCAAGCCAUCUGACUAGGACCCUAAAAGGUUCCAAGAGGUUAAAUGAUCCCGCAACACCCACCUGCAGACUGAGCGUUGUUUAAGCCGGGGAGACUCCCAGACUUGGAAAAGCUCUCUAAUGACAGCAAAUGCCACGUGCCAAGGAGCUACCUUUCAGCGGUGGUUACUAUGGUCCUCCAGAUGUUCUCCACUCAUCCUACAUGCUUGACAACAGCCCCUUCUCCUGAGGAGGUAAAGGCCCACCAACAGCACCCAUCCUGCCGACUUCCUAGAAACCCCAGGCCACAGACAUGUUGGCCGCCUCCUAUUUUUUUCCCAAUGCAUAAUACUAUCUACUAGCAAAAAUAAGUAUUUUCAAGUAAGCGAGUGGCAGGGGAAGCAAGAAGGCAGGCUGUGGGUGGAACCCCUCCGCCUCCAGGAGCCUCCAGCUCCCCACUUUUCCUGUUCUGCCUGGGAAGCUACUCCAAGUUCGUAUUUCUUGCUCCCUCCUUGAAGCCCUCUCUCCAGCUUGGCUUCCUGGGCCAACCCAGAUCCUUGCAAAAAGCACUUGCAGGGCUGGGCCCACUUCCUCACUGGGCCCAUGACUGUUCCCGGGCCAUGCUGAGAGACCCUCCAGAAUCAGAAGGCAGCAAUGUCCUCCCAGCUGCUGUGCUGGCACCUGGCUUGGGGAGGGGAGGCUGAAGAGCUGGGGCCCAUUACAGCAGCAGGUGACCCGGGAAACCUUUUCACAGCCCUGCUAACGGGAGUGAGUGGAGUGGCAGGGGUUAAUUGGGACAGAUUGUUAAAUGAAGCAAUAGGAAAACGAGCAGGAGUGUCAGAGGGCAUGGUGCGCCUGUGUGAGAGUGGCAGGAGCCUUCUGAGUCACUUCUGAGACCUGUGUUCCAGGAUGCAUGCUCUCAACAAGAUGGCCUUUGGGCUCUGAGGUGGGCUGCUUCAUUCAUCUGUGGGCAUCCUUAUUCAUAUGAAUUAAGGCUGAGAAUUUUCCUCAGAUGAAAUUACUUUUUUUUUGAGAUGGAAUCUCACUCUGUCACCCAGGCUGGAGGGCCGUGGUGUGAUCUCGGCUCACUGCAACCUCUGCCUCCCGGGUUCGAGCGAUUCUCCUGCCUCAGCCUCCCGAGUAGCUGGGAUUACAGGCACACGCCACCAUGUCCAACCAAUUUUUUUAUUUGGAAUAAGAGAUGGGGUUUCACCAUAUUGGCCAGGCUGGUCUCAAACUUCUGACCUCAGGUGAUGUAUCCACCUCAACCUCCCAAAGUGCUGGGAUUACAGGCGUGAGCCACUGUGUCCGGCCGAAACUACUUUUGAUGAUCAAACCAUAGCAUAUCACUUAGGCGAGAAAUAAAAUUCAACUAAAAAAAAAGCUAAUCUAGCACAUCGACUUAGGCAAUGCUGUCCACGAUUAAUUGGGCCUAAGGUGCUUUAAUAUAUAAUGCUUAAAUUUAUAGCAUACUUUUUCUUCUGUGUUAAAUGAGGGAACUGAAUUAGCUGGCUUUAAAGAUGCCUUCCAAUUCUAACAGUCUACGAUUCAACCUGAAGGGGAGUAAAAAGGACAAUAAAAUACGCAGUCAGGCCUCAUUAUUGACAGAUGCUGCAUUUGCAUAUUCAUCUAGUGGCAAACAUUUAUUUCUAUCCCCCAAACCAACACCUGUGGCACUUGGCAUCAUGUGCAGGAGAUGUGCGCACAGGGUUAAGAUACGAGUCUCCCAAUGAGCACACUCCCAGGAGAGGUCAAACAAGGCAACACCUUGUUGAUGCAGCUCUCAUGCAGUAAACAAGCGCCCAUUUCUGGCCAGGUGUGGUGGCUCAUGCCUAUAGUCCCAGCACUUUGGGAGGCCGAGGCGGGUGGAUCACAAGGUCAAGAGAACGAGACCAUCCUGGUCAACAUGGCGAAACCCUGUCCCUACUAAAAAUACAAAAAAUUAGCUGGGCAUGGUGGCACGUGCCUGUAAUCCCAGCUACUCAGGAGGCUGAGGCAGGAGAAUUGCCUGAACCCAGGAGGCAGAGGUUGCGGUGAGCCGAGAUGGCGCCAUUGCACUCCAGCCUGGGUAACAAAAGCGAAACUCCGUCUCAAAAAAAAAAAUACAAAGAUUAGCCGGGUAUGGUGGCAUGUGCCUGUAUCCCAGCGACUCGGGAGACUGAGGCAGGAGCAUUGUGUGAACCUGGGAGGUGGCAGUUGCAGUGAGCUGAGAUUGUGCCACUGCACUCCAGAUUGGGUGACAGAGCAAGACUAUCUCAAAAAAAAACAAAAAAACAAGUGUGUGUUUCACAGUGUAUUUAGUGCCACAUUUGUCACAUUUUUGUGCUGUUUUUUGUCUUUUAGAGACAGGGUCUCGCUCUGCCACCCAGGAUGGAGUGCAGUGGUGUGAUCCUAGCUCACUGGAGUUGAACUCCUGGGCUCAAGCACUCUUCCCACCUCAGCCUUCCAAGUAGCUGGGACUACAAGUGUGAACCAUGAUGCCUGCCUCUGUGCUUUUCUUUUGGUGAAUUCACUGUUUGAAAUGGCCCCACGUGCAGUGCUGAAGCACUGUCUAGUGUCCCUAAGUAUGAGAUGGCUAAGAUGUGCCUUAUGGAGAAAACACAUGUGUUAGACAAUGUGUUUUCACACCAUUUUUCCAGCAAUGAGCACUAGUGCUGUCAGCCGUGAGUCUCAAGUUAAUGAAUCCAUCAUCUAUGUUAAAUAAGCUGUCUUUAAACAUACACAGAAAACAAGGUCUGUAUUCAUAGGCUGGCAAAAAUGUUGUGACCAGAGGCUCACAGGAACUUAACCCUGGAUCUCUCCUAGGAACAAUGCUUCAGUAUUUGCUAAUUCAGUGCUCGUGGUGACUUUGUAGAACUGGGCCGUGAAUAGCAAGAAUCAACUGUACUCAAAUUCAAAUCCUAAUUUUAGAACUAAGUAGCCUUUCCAAUUUGGGGAAAAUAAGUUUGCUUCAGAACUAAGGCAGGAAGGAGAAGGGCUGCAGGGACACAGGCCACUGGUUAAGUUUGCCUGCAAGGGGUACCAGGAGGCAGGACAAAUGUGGUGGGCCCAGUAUGGUGACCCCCAGGGUAGGACCACACAGCACUCCACAAGGUUUCUCAGGAUGCCCAGGCAUGCUCUAAAUAACAAUAGCACAAGAGAAGAAACCAGAAGUAAGGGCCUCCUGUGGUACCCAGGUAUGCACAGAGGUCAGAUGCCCUGGAGGGAGAGGCUGGGUAUGGUGAGAAGGGGAUGGGAGAGUGGCAGAAAUCUGCAUAAUCCUGAGACAGCCCAAAGAGAGGAAGGGCUUUUUUACCUUCCUAAAAAGAUGUCAAACCAGGCCUGGUGCUUGUGCACAGCAGGGAGCUGGGCGGACCUGUGUCUGAUCUGCACAGGCACUCCGUCAGGCCCCUGGGGUCCUGGCCUCAACUGCUUGCCCAGCUGACCUGCUACAGAUGAGCCACCGGCAGCUGUGCUCUUUAGCACUGGACCCUCUAGGCAGCCAGGAUCAGGGUACUUUCUAUCAUCCCUGGAGGCGGUGUCCCCAGCCAGCAGGAGACACGGAGGUCAAGGAGAUAAGGUCUAUCUGGCGGGUGGGCAGGUUGCUCCACUUGGCUCAGUACUGCCUGAGUUCCUGCCCGGAGGGCCAAGGUGAACUCUGGAGACGAGCAGCCUGAGGAUCAGCUCAACCCCGCAGCACCCCGACUCUGGGCCUAAGUUCUUCGCUCCUUCGUGCCUCCAUUUCUUCCUCUAUGAAAUCGGGAUAAAGAUAGUACCCUAGUCUCGUAUGUUUACUGGGGAUUUCAGUGUAAAGUGCUUAGAGCAAUGCCUGGCAUAGAGUAAGUGCCGUUAUAGACGCAUUCCAUUAUCUAUCACCCACAGCCAUAUGUCUUUAUAAAUAGAGUUUCAAAAUGACCACCAUACGCAGUCUAGUUUAACGAAAUUCCAGCAGAGUAGGUGGUAUGUGGAUAAUCCAGAGGUCAUUCCGGAACAUCUACAGAAAGAUGACCUGCUCUGCAGAUAGCCCUUGACAGUCAACGCAACACACUGGGUUUUGGGUGUGAGGCGUCCUGUGUGGAUGUGUGAGAGAGUUCCUUCAAAGGCAGGCCAAGCUAAACUGUAAGCUCUGUCUGGACAGCAGCCUUCCAAACCAGCAAAAAUGAGAGACGUGCAGGGAGGUUCUUACUGCUUCGUGUUGGUUUAAAAGACCCUGUUGGUGCAGUCUUCCCAGCACUGAGGUGGGAGUCAUGCAUAUCACAGACUGUUUCCCAGGAGCCUGGAUUUUCAAAGCAGCGAGAGAAGUACUGACGAGAAAAAUCAAGAGGCAAACAGUAUGUUUAAUAGCUGGGCCUCUAUUUAAUUCAUUGUAAUAAUACUAAGCCUAAUUUUCUCUUUCACUUGAAGGAAAGCUAUACAAAUAUCAA